Molecule: small RNA, 96 nt
Filed under: Arabidopsis thaliana (thale cress)
Lineage: Eukaryota; Viridiplantae; Streptophyta; Magnoliopsida; Brassicales; Brassicaceae
Description: ATSL156290
Source: RNAcentral
AACACCAGAAACUGGAGACUCAACAGAUAUAGGCAUUUCAGAAUCUCCAGGAACUGGAGAUGGAGCUGGAGCAACAAAAGGCGAGCCACUAGACUU